Molecule: ribosomal RNA, 443 nt
Filed under: uncultured Fusobacterium sp.
Lineage: Bacteria; Fusobacteriati; Fusobacteriota; Fusobacteriia; Fusobacteriales; Fusobacteriaceae
Description: bacterial SSU rRNA
Rfam family: Bacterial small subunit ribosomal RNA
Source: RNAcentral
CCUACGGGAGGCAGCAGUGGGGAAUAUUGGACAAUGGACCAAGAGUCUGAUCCAGCAAUUCUGUGUGCACGAUGAAGUUUUUCGGAAUGUAAAGUGCUUUCAGUUGGGAAGAAAAAAAUGACGGUACCAACAGAAGAAGUGACGGCUAAAUACGUGCCAGCAGCCGCGGUAAUACGUAUGUCACGAGCGUUAUCCGGAUUUAUUGGGCGUAAAGCGCGUCUAGGUGGUUAUGUAAGUCUGAUGUGAAAAUGCAGGGCUCAACUCUGUAUUGCGUUGGAAACUGCAUGACUAGAGUACUGGAGAGGUAAGCGGAACUACAAGUGUAGAGGUGAAAUUCGUAGAUAUUUGUAGGAAUGCCGAUGGGGAAGCCAGCUUACUGGACAGAUACUGACGCUAAAGCGCGAAAGCGUGGGUAGCAAACAGGAUUAGAUACCCCGGUAGUC